UGAUAACCAAAAUUGAAAGAUUUAUUUUAUUAAUUUUAAAUUUCUGUUUU
RNAcentral lists this small nucleolar RNA (50 nucleotides) under Brugia malayi. Its description in RNAcentral is "snoRNA Bm16234". Lineage: Eukaryota; Metazoa; Nematoda; Chromadorea; Rhabditida; Onchocercidae. The record is from RNAcentral.